CAGUUUAUAUUUUGCUCAGUCGAAACCAAUUCAUUGCUCAAAAUACAUAAAUCCACACGCUAAAUUCACAAGAUAAAACUUUUUUUUUCCUUUUUUCGUGUGACGAGAUCUAAAAUCAAACAAAUAUGUUCGGUCAAUCGUGCUAUCCUGGAGCCUGCAUUGGAAGUUGCGGUGGUUGCGGGCCUAGCGGAUUCUAUGAUUCCUGUUAUGGACCUUUUAACGGCCCAUUCAAUAGUUGGUGUGGACCAAGCGGUCCAGGCUUUUGGCACGGACGUUGCUGCUAAAAUCAAUGUGAUUCGCCUUCUUUUCGAGCAGCGGGCAGGUGAUAUUAGUUUGAAGCGGUUGGAAGAUCUCUCUUGCAGAAGAAAAUAAGGAAAAAUAUAACGUUUUAUCUUAACCCCAAAUAAUUUAGACAAUAAAUGAUGUGAGAAAUAAUAGA
Molecule: long non-coding RNA, 439 nt
Organism: Drosophila busckii
Lineage: Eukaryota; Metazoa; Arthropoda; Insecta; Diptera; Drosophilidae
Exons: 2
Source: RefSeq, a predicted model, not a curated record